AAAGAAAAACUACAUGGAAUGAGGAAAUAGACCACUCCUGCCUUCAAAAUCCUCUUCCUAAGGUUUGUAGAAUUCCUAAGAACUCAGGAAAGACAUCAGCAGAGAGCAAUGGUCGUCACAGCCAGAUGCACUGUCACCUCCAUUCAUACAGCACUAACUUUGUCCUUUCAGUCCCAUGGUGUUUAGAGAUCUGUUCUCCUAACAGCUUCUCGCCUAUUUCACAAGGCCUAUUGCAAAACUAGCUCCACACAGAAUGCACCCACCCAGCUACUUGUCGAAUUACAACCUGAUGAUGGAUCCACCAGAAACUAAGAAUGGAAAGGUUGUAAAGAAAUCACAG
Molecule: non-coding RNA, 340 nt
Filed under: Pongo abelii (Sumatran orangutan)
Lineage: Eukaryota; Metazoa; Chordata; Mammalia; Primates; Hominidae
Source: RNAcentral